RNAcentral lists this ribosomal RNA (253 nucleotides) under uncultured bacterium. RNAcentral's name for it is "partial 16S ribosomal RNA". It matches the Rfam family "Bacterial small subunit ribosomal RNA", at positions 524 to 776 of the family's 1533-position model. The record is from RNAcentral.
UACGGGGGGGGCAAGCGUUGUUCGGAAUUACUGGGCGUAAAGGGCUCGUAGGCGGCCAACUAAGUCCGACGUGAAAUCCCAAGGCUUAACCUUGGAACUGCGUCGGAUACUGGAUGGCUUGAAUUCGGGAGAGGGAUGCAGAAUUCCAGGUGUAGCGGUGAAAUGCGUAGAUAUCUGGAGGAAUACCGGUGGCGAAGGCGGCAUCCUGGACCGACAUUGACGCUGAGGAGCGAAAGCUAGGGGAGCAAACGGG